Molecule: ribosomal RNA, 406 nt
Filed under: uncultured bacterium
Lineage: Bacteria
Description: partial 16S ribosomal RNA
Rfam family: Bacterial small subunit ribosomal RNA
Source: RNAcentral
AUUGAACGCUGGCGGCAGGCCUAACACAUGCAAGUCGAACGAGUGGCGGAAGGGUGAGUAAUGUCUGGGAAACUGCCUGAUGGAGGGGGAAAAAUACUGGAAACGGUAGCUCAUACCGCAUACCAUCGGAUGUGCCCAGAUGGGCUUAGCUAGUAGGUGGGGUAAAGGCUCACCAAGUCGACGAUCCCUAGCUGGUCUGAGAGGAUGACCGGCCACACUGGAACGGAGACACGGUCCAGACUCCUACGGGAGGCAGCAGUGGGGAAUAUUGCACAAUGGGCGCAAGCCUGAUGCAGCCAUGCCGCGUGUAUGAAGAAGGCCUUCGGGUUGUAAAGUACUGUCAGCGGGGAGGCGUUACCCGCAGAAGAAGCACCGGCUAACUACGUGCCAGCAGCCGCGGUAAUAC